AGAUACUAAGGUGCUUAAGAAU
Molecule: non-coding RNA, 22 nt
Filed under: Rattus norvegicus (Norway rat)
Lineage: Eukaryota; Metazoa; Chordata; Mammalia; Rodentia; Muridae
Source: RNAcentral